Molecule: transfer RNA, 74 nt
Filed under: Danio rerio (zebrafish)
Lineage: Eukaryota; Metazoa; Chordata; Actinopteri; Cypriniformes; Danionidae
Description: tRNA-Asn (GTT) (tRNA-Asn-GTT-177-1)
Rfam family: tRNA
About the family: Transfer RNA (tRNA) molecules are approximately 80 nucleotides in length. Their secondary structure includes four short double-helical elements and three loops (D, anti-codon, and T loops). Further hydrogen bonds mediate the characteristic L-shaped molecular structure. tRNAs have two regions of fundamental functional importance: the anti-codon, which is responsible for specific mRNA codon recognition, and the 3' end, to which the tRNAs corresponding amino acid is attached (by aminoacyl-tRNA synthetases). tRNAs cope with the degeneracy of the genetic code in two manners: having more than one tRNA (with a specific anti-codon) for a particular amino acid; and 'wobble' base-pairing, i.e. permitting non-standard base-pairing at the 3rd anti-codon position.
Source: Rfam by way of RNAcentral
GUCUCUGUGGCGCAAUCGGUUAGCGCGUUCGGCUGUUAACUGAAAGCUUUGUGGUUCAAGCCCACCCAGGGACG